RNAcentral lists this ribosomal RNA (255 nucleotides) under uncultured bacterium. RNAcentral describes it as "partial 16S ribosomal RNA". It matches the Rfam family "Bacterial small subunit ribosomal RNA", at positions 524 to 776 of the family's 1533-position model. The record is from RNAcentral.
UACGUAGGGUGCAAGCGUUAAUCGGAAUUACUGGGCGUAAAGCGUGCGCAGGCGGUUGGGCAAGACAGAUGUGAAAUCCCCGGGCUUAACCUGGGAACUGCAUUUGUGACUGCCCGGCUAGAGUGUGUCAGAGGGGGGGUAGAAUUCCACGUGUAGCAGUGAAAUGCGUAGAUAUGUGGAGGAAUACCGAUGGCGAAGGCAGCCCCCCUGGGAUAACACUGACGCUCAUGCACGAAAGCGUGGGGAGCAAACAGG